RNAcentral lists this ribosomal RNA (500 nucleotides) under uncultured Glomeromycotina. RNAcentral describes it as "partial small subunit ribosomal RNA". It matches the Rfam family "Eukaryotic small subunit ribosomal RNA", at positions 591 to 1092 of the family's 1831-position model. The record is from RNAcentral. Lineage: Eukaryota; Fungi; Glomeromycota.
CCAAUAGCGUAUAUUAAAGUUGUUGCAGUUAAAAAGCUCGUAGUUGAAUUUCGGGAUCAGUACGCUGGUCGUGCCUUCGGUAUGUACUGGUGUUACUGGUUCCUACCUUCUGACGAACCGUCAUGUCAUUAAUUUGGUGUGGCGGGGAAUCAGGACUGUUACUUUGAAAAAAUUAGAGUGUUUAAAGCAGGCUCGCGCUUGAAUACAUUAGCAUGGUAUAAUGAAAUAGGACGUUCGAUCCUAUUUUGUUGGUUUCUAGGAUUUACGUAAUGAUUAAUAGGGAUAGUUAGGGGCAUUAGUAUUCAAUUGUCAGAGGUGAAAUUCUUGGAUUUAUUGAAGACUAACUACUGCGAAAGCAUUUGCCAAGGAUGUUUUCAUUGAUCAAGAACGAAAGUUAGGGGAUCGAAGACGAUCAGAUACCGUCGUAGUCUUAACCAUAAACUAUGCCGACUAGGGAUCGGAUGAUGUUAAUUUUUUAAUGACUCAUUCGGCGCCUUACG